This is a long non-coding RNA of Glycine soja, 987 nucleotides long. RefSeq lists it as uncharacterized. Lineage: Eukaryota; Viridiplantae; Streptophyta; Magnoliopsida; Fabales; Fabaceae. The record is from RefSeq and is a predicted model, not a curated record. The transcript is spliced from 5 exons.
GAUACAUCCUUUCUCUCUUCCCUCACAAAAAAUUUCCUUCUCCUCUUGCAAAAUGGGGGAAGAGUUUGGAUCUAAGAACUAACACUACUACUACUCAUAGUCACACACAGAGCCUAGAAAAGAAUCUCCCUCUCUUUCUUUCUCUAACAACAAUGUCUCUCACUGAUGGUGACUUGGAUCUUAGGUGAGUACAUGUUUGCCGAUGUGGAGAAUUUGGAGCAUUACGCUAAGUAUCUUAACCAAUCGCUCAUCACGUUUGGUUUCCCAGCUUCGCUUGAUCUCUUCACAAAUGACCCUGCCAAAGUGGAGAUCGAGGCUGGAAGGUCAACUACAAGUCAAAGACAGGGAGAUAUUGACUAUUACUAGAACGGUGGCUAAAAAUUCUCAAACUCUGAAGGCCCAAAAUGAGAAGCUACAAUAAGAGAGAUUUGAAUUUCAGAAAAUGGUUAUUGGUAAUCAGGUUAGAAGUUUGAUCUACUUUGCUUAUUGUGGUGUCUUGUUUGGAUGGCCCUACUUCAAAAUGGGUAAGCCUUUGAGUCUUGUGAAUUUGACUAUUGAAUGGUGUGAAUGCAAGUAAAGACUUAUAGUUCUUUGUAUUUGGGACACAUCCUUAUGUCAUACAAUUUAUUUUUAAUGUUGAAAGGUGGACGCUCAUGAGUAAAAAAAUCAAUAACUUAUGGUAUAGAAUGCUGAUUUAGGAGCAUUAUUGAGAUUAAUGCAGGAAAAUUGUCUGAAGGAUAAUUUAGAAACAUUGACGAAUUUGUGAAGGUGAGGUUGAAGUGAAUGAUGCAGAGUGAGAGAUGGAAAUGAGGACGAGAACAGGAUCACUGACAUUUUACUUUAUUUUGCUCCGCGUGAUGAAAUAUUUAUUUAUUAUUCAGUGUCUGUCUUAUUUAUUGUCUCUUUAUUUUUCUCAACCUUUCUUAGACUUUUAUUGGUUCUCAUUGAGUAGCUGAUACCAUAUGCUAAAUCUUUAAUUUUUGGCUA